Non-coding RNA from Podarcis lilfordi (Lilford's wall lizard), 1532 nucleotides. The record is from the annotation of a GenBank genome assembly. NCBI's taxonomy places the organism in Eukaryota, Metazoa, Chordata, Lepidosauria, Squamata, Lacertidae.
UCAAAGCAAUGAAGAUGAUGCCUCCCCAGCUGUUGCCAUUGGCUGUGGGUUUCUUGUGAUGUCACAAAAGCACUUGGCAACUGAGUGGAUAUAAAGGCAGGCCAAGGGGAAAGCCCUUUUCUGUUUCCAGCAGGACACACAUGGAGAUGACAUUCAGCCGUUUACCUUCCCACUGGAGCGGUACCUAUUUAUCUACUUGCACUUUGACGUGCUUUCGACCUGCUAGGUUGGCAGGAGCAUGGACCGAGCAAUGGGAACUCACCCCGUCGUGGGGAUUCGAACCGCCAACCUUCUGAUCGGCAAGUCCUAGGCUCUGUGGUUUAACCCACAGCGCCACCAAUGUCCCAGUGAUGGGUUACAUGAUGGUUGAUACAGAGCCGUCUUUCCCAUUGGGCUUACUGGUGUGUUGCACCAGGGUGCCGGCCUCUCAGGGGCGUCCUAGCGAGUGGGGGAGCUGUGCGGCUUUGCUGGCGGCCUCCCCUUUCCCUCCUGCAUGCCUGCCAGCUGCGCCCCAUCAACCAUAUGGCUGGCAGGCGUGCAGCUUGCCUCCCAAGCCUCCGCAGGAGGAGAGCAAUUCCCGCAGAGGCUUGGGAAAAGGUCGACAACUCUGGGAAAUGGGGUGGGGAGGUGGGGCGCUGGAGGGAUCUUUGCACCACAGUGCCGGAUAUGCUUAAGACGGCCCUGAGACACUAAACUGAGGCUGAAUUCUGGUAUGAUGUAAGCCCUGUGUGAGUGAGUUGUUCCCUGUUGGUUGUUCUUGGCAGGGUUGCACUGUCUUGUGAAGGAGCAGGUAUGUAGCUUGGGAAAUCUCUUAGAUCCAUCACUGUCAACGGAGGCACAGGUGUCCUUAGUACUGCUGAAGAUUCCUUGCAGCUUCAUCUGCUACAGCUGUUCCUGGACAGAGGCAGUGGGGCAGCAAGUUGCUAACUUGUAGUCUGAACUGCUGGCAAUGUGCUCUACGCUGCGCUUGUCUUUCAUUGAUAAAUUGUAGCUAGUGCAGAAUGCACCAGCUGCCGGUACAUUCCUGAGCAAAGUUCAAGCGUAUAAAAUCCUAAAUGACCUAAAUUACCUUGUCCCUUAGGCAGAUCACUGUGAUUAUCUGGAGGAGUCAUCCUGAUUACCCAACACUGAUUACAUUUGUUUAGCUUCUUUCUACUCAAACUAAACCUUUGCUUUUGAUUUUGUUAUAUUAUUGUGUUAUAUUUUUAUUAACCAAUUUCCACAUAACAAUUUAUCAAUCUUCUUAACCAAUUACAUCAUUUCCCCCCCUUCCCCCCUCAACCCUCCCUCUCCCCCACCACAGACUUCCCUCAGCUCCCCUCCCUGAUUUCUUUACGUUUAUUGUUUUCUGCAUGUUAUAAAAUUGUACAUAUCCUUACUUUGUCUAUCAUAUGUUCAGCUAAUAAAUUUGUGAAUGUCUAGUUCAUUUUGUUGUCUUUUUAGAUAGCUUGUAAAAAGCUCCCAUUCUUCCUUGAAGUCACAGUUGUCCUUUUCACAUGGUUUAUAUGUCAAUUUGGCCAAUUCCGCAUAGC